This 301-nucleotide ribosomal RNA is filed under the name uncultured bacterium. Its description in RNAcentral is "partial 16S ribosomal RNA". It matches the Rfam family "Bacterial small subunit ribosomal RNA", at positions 509 to 807 of the family's 1533-position model. The record is from RNAcentral.
CAGCAGCCGCGGGAAUACAGAGGGUGCAAGCGUUAAUCGGAUUUACUGGGCGUAAAGCGUGCGUAGGUGGCUGUUUAAGUCGGAUGUGAAAGCCCUGGGCUUAACCUGGGAACUGCAUUCGAUACUGGAUAGCUAGAGAUCGGUAGAGGGCAGCGGAGUUCCGGGUGUAGCGGUGAAAUGCGUAGAUAUCCGGAGGAACACCGAUGGCGAAGGCAACUGCCUGGGCCUGAUCUGACACUGAGGCACGAAAGCGUGGGUAGCAAACAGAAUUAGAUACCCCUGUAGUCCCUGUCUAUUAUAC